Theobroma umbraticum is the source of this 1255-nucleotide non-coding RNA. The record is from RefSeq and is a predicted model, not a curated record. NCBI's taxonomy places the organism in Eukaryota, Viridiplantae, Streptophyta, Magnoliopsida, Malvales, Malvaceae.
UCCUGGUUGCCGGCAACGAUUGCUAUCGGUCACUAAUCCCCGGUCGGCGAAAAGGGCAGUAGAAUAUUUUUUUUAUCAAAUAAUUUUCAUUAAAAAUAGUUUUUGAUAAAAUUUAUUCAAUUUAUAUAUAAAAGUUCUUAUUGCAUUCAUAAUUUACAGUUUAAUAUUGCGAAAUUUCAAAUAUUCAGUUUGCACAAACGUGACAACGAAUACUAAUACGUGUAAACUUAUGCAAAAGGUACAUGCAUAAUCUUCCAGUUCUCUGUGAUUCCAGUGAGUGACGAAUCUGUGGCAAGUUGAACUCCGAACACAAGAACUAAUUAACAAUUUGCAAAACCAUGCUGUUGGCAGUGGCCAGGGCAAGGGAUGCAUCAAUGGAUAAGUAAGUAACCAUUGUGAGCCGACUGAUCCUAUGACCGGAGAUCGGAAUUGCUUGAUUUGUUUCGUCUACUACUACUGGGAAUUAUGUUUAAGUUCUGUGUAGUGAUCUGCACAAAUUUGGUAAAGAACCAUCGUGCAUGCCUCUUGCGUGGUGCUGACAUUUGUAUUUACAUUCGUGAAUCAACUCUCUACCUUCUUAUAUAUAAAAACCUGAGAGCCAUGGCUGAGGAAAUCCAAGAAGGGUAGCUGCUAGAGGUGGAGAAAUAAAUGGGAAUGGGUCCAGUUCGCCUGGGAUCAAACGCAGUGGCUCAAGUAGCAGCACUGCUCUUGCUGAUAUCCAUAAGCGUGACCGCAGCAUCUGCACAACUGAAGACCCAGAAUCCCUGGGCGCCAAAAAAACUGGGCGAUUGCCAAGGAGGCAUCGACGGCGCCGUCAGCUGCGAAGUGAAGUGUAAUUUGCUAGGCUGCAUGGCAGGAUGUCUAAUAAAUAACCAUCCGGGAUGCGUCCUAGCCUGUUUAGCCGAAAAUAUUAGUUGCCAGAGUACCUGCAGCUUUGUUCCAUUUCCACCAGACCCAUCACCACCGCCAGCACCACCAGCACCACCAGCACCUCCACCGAAGGCCUGAAUGAGUGGAUGGACGGACGGCGUUUCUGUAUUACGUAUUUGUUGCAAACAAUUGCAUGUCUCUGAAAUAAAUAAAAAUGAUAAUAAGUAGCAACGCCACUAGACUAGUCCUCUAUAGAGCUAGUGUUCCCAUAUAAUUGAUUUCUACGUAGAUUGUGUCUUGAACUGUAUUGUAUCAUGGAUGAGGGGAUGCAAAAAUAUGUAGUAAAGAAUUCUGUUUUUGCAAUAAUAUCUGAUGAUUGUGCCAA